This is a non-coding RNA of Bemisia tabaci, 1070 nucleotides long. Lineage: Eukaryota; Metazoa; Arthropoda; Insecta; Hemiptera; Aleyrodidae. The record is from RefSeq and is a predicted model, not a curated record.
GCAGCUCCGAAACAAUUAUCCUUUCUGUAAAAAGCAAGUAGGCUUAGAGUUUAAGUAAUUGUAGAAUUAACGAUUCGGUGUGCCCAUUGUUUUAAAAGCUUAUUGUUUAGAAAGAUCUAUUUUCAUCCACAAGCAUACUUUACAGCUAAAUUUUUGAGGGUGGAUAUCAAGCUAAUGGAAAAAAAUGGAUCGCUGUAUUUGCUAGAGAACUGGUCCCUUGAAGUUUCCGGAGCAGAAUCCUUCAGUUCAUUAAAGCACUUGUCUACAGAAGUGGGUCUGUUCGCAAAGUCUGCAUCGAGUGCUGUGAGUUUUUCAAUGAAAUGUUCAGGAGAGGCAGGAGCCCUACAAAAAUACAAAAAUCCAUAAAUCAAGUUGCAAAGAAUUUCCUGGAGCUGAAUUUUGAACUGGCAUUAUGCAAAAUAAUGAUUUUCUUCUAUGAUUAUUUUCCCCGUAGAGGUUUAACAAAUCAUGCUCACAAAAUAAAUGAUCUGACUUGCCUACUUACUCAAAUUCACCAUUCAUAAUCAUACUUUAAUGGAGAUGAAUGAUUUUCUUGUGGUGUCAUUCACUAAAUCAUAUUUUAAUGGAACAGGAUGAUUUUCUUGUAGUGUGAUUCUAAAAGGCAUCUGAAAUGAGUAUUCAUGCUUCAAGACUUAAGAGACCCUGCGCAAUCUAAAAGACGUGCGCUCCACCUCACCAAAAAUGUAUCAAAUAGCAUGAAUUUACAGAGGUUCACAGCUAAACAGCCUAAAAUGAUUUCAUUCACAUCAUACAGGCAUGACUGAGAGGCCAUUGCAUUGUGGACUGUUUCACAAAAUAAGAGGAUUGUUCAAAAACUUGAGUUUGAAGACAGGCUUGCGAAGGGACUGUCAGACAAUUUGUUUUUUAUCAAGGAUAGUGACAUUAGCUGACUGCUCUGAUUUUGGAAGAAUCAUACGGAUUGAGUGAGACAAAUGCUGAGAUUCUUCGAGUGUUACCUGAUAGGGGAGCAUAUCAAACAUUAGUGUUAUCCUGCACAAGAAGAGCAUACCAUCGGCUCCCUACUUAGUAAACGCCUGUCUAUCAGAAAA